This 458-nucleotide ribosomal RNA is filed under the name uncultured bacterium. Its description in RNAcentral is "partial 16S ribosomal RNA". It matches the Rfam family "Bacterial small subunit ribosomal RNA", at positions 29 to 507 of the family's 1533-position model. The record is from RNAcentral.
AACGAACGCUGGCGGCAUGCCUAACACAUGCAAGUCGAACGAGAGCUUCGGGCCUAGUGGCGCACUGGGGCGUGACGCGUGGGAACCUGCCCUUAGGUUUGGAAUGACUCCCCGAAAGGGGUGCUAAUACCGGCUAAUGUCUCCGGUCCGACGAGUUAUCGCCUGUGGAUGGGCCUGGGUUGGAUUAGCUAGUUGUGGGCGUAGAGCGCUACCAAGGCGACGAGCCGUAACUGGUCAGAGAGGAUGAUCAGCCACACUGGUACUGAGACACGGUCCAGACUCCUACGGGAGGCAGCAGUGCGGAAUAUUGGACGGUGGGCGAAAGCGUGAUCCAGCCAUGCCGCGUGUGUGAAGAAGGCCUCCGGAUUGUAAAGCAGUUUAAGUUGUUAGGAAGGGCAGUAAGUUUUUCCCUGGCUGUUUUGACGUUACCAGCAGAAUAAGCACCGGCUAACUUCGUG